UUGUGAGGCCACUGAGGAGACUAUUAAUCAAUAAAACAAAGAGUCGUUAAUGAGAACCGCUCCGGUUUCCACCACAGAAGCGUCCUCCUGAGGUCAGAGGAGGAGUUGAAGGACGUUUGGUUUAAUCACCCGGACGACCUGCCGCCGCAGACGCCUCGACACGGAAGACGAUACAGAGGGAGAGCGUGUUCACACUCACCACCACUCUGACGUGCUUGGACAAAUCCCUCGAGCUCCUCUGGAGGAAAUCUGAGAACGCGGCCUGCAGAGACGCACACACACACACACACACACACACACACACGCACACACGCACACACACACGCACAGAGGAAAGGGAACCCAAUCAAACAGAAUUGAAGUGCAUCAAAUGUUCCUCAUUGAAUGCGUGCUCCCACACUUCAUUUAUUCCUCACGUCUCUCAUUCUCUGUCAGGCUCACGAUUUGAAUUUGAAGAAAUUAAAAAACACAAAGAAGAAGCUGGAAAAUGUGGCAAAGUGUAUGGCUGACCUUCUGCGUCCCCUCCUCCGGCUGCUCGGCGCCUUUCUCCACGUGGAGGUUCCACCUGUCCAGCUGCACCACCGACCCGUCCUCCACGUGGCACAGCACCUUGGACACCGGCUCGUCCGUGUAACCCUUCGGACGGAGAGAGACAAUAAACAACACCCACAGGUGUCUCUAACGGGACGGGGUCCAGUGUGCCAAGGACUGCACUGCAACAACGGAGAAAACUAAAAAGCCUCUCAAACGCACUGGCAUGGACGGACAAGUACAAGGGGGGGGGGGGGGGGGGGCUGGGGGACGUCCUGCCGC
Pungitius pungitius (ninespine stickleback) is the source of this 813-nucleotide long non-coding RNA. RefSeq lists it as uncharacterized. The record is from RefSeq and is a predicted model, not a curated record. NCBI's taxonomy places the organism in Eukaryota, Metazoa, Chordata, Actinopteri, Perciformes, Gasterosteidae. The transcript is spliced from 3 exons.